UCCUUUUGUGGAUGCUGAGCAUCUCUGUGUGCUCAGGCUGCUGAGUACUAUUUCAUUUUUCCAGAGAGCUGCUGGGAAGGAUGGUCCUGCCUCAAAUACCUGAUAAAAAUGAGGGAGAGGCAGGAGCAGAGGGGGAGUGAGGAAGAGGGACUCCCCAUCUGCUGUAAAUCCUCUAGGUUAGCUGUGCUGACUGUAAGCCCUCUGCUGCACUGCUGGGAGACAAGGGUUUGGGGUGUGUUGGGUGCAGUGAAGGCAUGGCAUUGCUGCCCACAGAAGCAGCCUGCAGGAGCCGUUCUACAUCUGUCCCUCACAUGGAUGCUGAGCUAAGGCUGAGGAUGCCUUUGUGCAGUUCUUUGUGGUAGCAAGUUAACUGAAGCGGACACAGGCAUCCUCAGUGAGGAGUGAAAGUGGUGAGUCAUAGCAGAAUCAGUCUUGUGAUUUUAGUUCAAGUCCUGACUAUUUCCCUGUGGCUUUUCCAGGGUGACGUAAAGGCAAGGUGCUGGGGCUCAGGUUAAGGUUCGGGUAAGAGGGAGCUGGCUAGAUUGGAAAGUCAAAAAUAUUUUUGCUGUAAUUGCAGAGAUAAAGAUUUACUCAAGCGAAGAAGCCCUUAGUUGGCUUCCUGACAGGGCUCUUGGCCUUAAAGAGGGUCUUUAAUGGGGGUAAUACUGAGCUUAGGAGCAAAACUCCUGGCCUAAGAGGAUGCAUCUUCCCUCUGAAAUAAUCAGAACCAGAACCAUGAUGAGAGACAUGACUGUAAUGUCUGGUGGCUGCUGACACAGAGUGGCCUUAGAAAGGACCUGUUAAAAGGUUUUUUCACUGUUAAAAGCUUUUGCAGAGCACUAAAAAGCUGUCUGUUUCCUAUCUUGAAAUGCUGGUGCUCCUUAGGGGCUGAAUUAUAAAGUCACCCUGGAUCUGAGGCUGCUGAAGGGGAGAGUGCAACAAGAAUAGACAGCAGCCUUCUUGUAGUUGGAAUUUGGGACCACCUGUCAUUCAAGGUUCAAACACAACCUCCCUCCUCCCCUCCUGAAAUCAACCUCAGCUCUCUCCCACUCCCUCCUACCUGUAGCCUCUGUCCUGGUAAGGACACAGUCUGAACGCUGGCAGAGAGCAGAACCAAGAAGAGGAAAAAUGAGCAGCAAGACCAUGACCGAAGCCCCAGCAUCUUCUUCUUAGCCCAGGGCUGGUGGGAAGCAAGGCAGGACUCACAGCAGCUGUGUCAGAUGUGGUCCCUAACCCCUCUCUGCCUUUAUAGCUUUAGUUUUGGCAGGCAACUGGCCCCAGCUCCCUGCUGAACCACCCCCUGGAGCUCCUUAACCUUUCAGCCCUUUUGUCCAGGGUGAUAUAUUUCAGGGUGAGCUCAGCAAGACCCCUUCCUCUAAAGAAAAAGGACACAAAGGUGUUUACUGAGUGUCUGGGAAGACAAAUGUGAGUUGAGCUGCUGCUGGCCAGGACCUGGAGGUGUCUCGCAGGGUCAGGGAUGGGGUGACACUUCAAAACACGUCCCAGAAGGAGGAUAUUGAAGGCUGCAUUGUGUAGGACUAUUGAACAUACUCCUCAUAGGCAGAGUGCUGUUAAUGUUAUUUCUCUGAUCAGUGUGAGCAUGAACUGCAGCUCAGUUAGAGGUAGGCACAGUGCUGGCUGCACAGAGUGGACACAAAUUCAGCUCUGUGACAACACAGGCUUAUGUUUUUAAUAUUUAUAUCUUGGUGAGACAGUUGGGCUGGGAAUGAAGAGCUCCUGCUGCAGAAGGUGGGUGAAUUCCAGUACUAUGCAGAGUUUGUAGCAGUGACAGGAGCGUGGGUCUAGUACUAUUAACAUAUAAUUUGCAGGCUCUCUGUCCUAAGUCACCAUCUGGAGGACUGGGCUGAGUUUCCAGAGGAACCGUCACAGAAAAGAGCUUGUCAAGACUCAGCUUGCACUUUGUCAAGCUCAGGCACACAAUGGGAGCAGGAUAGCAAGGAGCAGAUUCCUACCUCCUAAAUCUUCUGGCCAUUAGUUCCCCCCACUUUGUUUACCUCUUCCAUUUUACUGUAGUUUCUCACCAGCUGAACAAGGCAAUGAGGUCACUGUUUAGAGAUCAGGGUGCAGAAGUCAGCCUGGGUAUGAAGACAGAAACUCAUCAGCAAAGUUUGUCAGGGGAGAGGAAUGGGGGGACUGUACCCCAGUACAGGAUUAGCAGUAGGUGUGCUGGGAGAGUUUAACACCCUCAACUUCCCUUUGUUCAGUACUGUUGCACAAAACAGGCCAGAACUUUACAGAACAUGUUCUUCUGCCUGCUUUUUUUUUUAUUUUUUUCAAAGAAAGAAGAAAAUUAGAAAAAGGUCUUCAGAGAUAACAAAAAGCACAGUUCAGAUAUUUGCUCUGCCACUCUUUCCCUUGUUCCCUCCCUUUCUUCCUUCCAGACAUUUUCCAUUUGCAGAUGCAGGUUUGUGGGUCCGUUUCUUCUCUGCCCAAGUAGACAGAAAGUUUUACAAACCUUUUGCAUCCAGCCCUUGAGAACUGAGUGUGUGCCUUCAGUGUGGGGCACUGAUGCUGGAAGCAGGGCUUUGCACAGCUGUGAACAUCCAAUUUUGUCAGCUCCAGCUGAUGGCUGCAGCCCAUGGUUGGUGCUGUGUCCAGAGCAGUGUGAUACAGUCUGGCAUUCCUGUCACCCGGGGCAGCACAUGGAGGGGCUCCCAAGGUCCCACCAAGACAUUUUGUGGGAAACAGGAUUGCUUUCACACCAACCCUUGAAUCUCCAAAGCACAGGGGACUGCUGGGCAGUCACAGGACACGCACCCCACGUGGGCAUGAGGAUGGGGUGCCUGGGCACAAACGGGGGACAGGGAUGUGUGUGCACAGCAGCCCCUCCUUGUGCUGGAUGUGGUAGUGUAAGGAGCCAGAGGGAUGGAAAAGAAAGGAAGGACAGGAACUCAGCACAUGUUCAUGCUGCAUGCAGGGUGUCCCAGAGGAUGCUGUUCUGUACUUCCCAGUCACAUGUGGCCAUCCACAAAGAGCUGAGUCAGUGUUCUCCAGCACUCCUGCUGCUGGCAGGAGCAGCUCCACCCGGUUACAUGAGUCAGUCAGUCCUUUCCUGAGGGAAAGGUAAGUGCAAAAGCAACAGUGGUUUGGUUUUGAUAUGAAAUGUAGCAGCAGUUUGAUCUGGCAUCCCUUGAAUGGGGUGGCCCCCAUACUGCAAGAAGAAUGCCAGAAAUGUGUUUGCAACUGCUCCAAAAUUCCAGUCCACUUGCACAAAGACAGCCCUGCAGGGGUGGGCAGGCUCUGAGAACUCAAAUGACAAGUGCCCUCUUUGGGUUCAGCAAGAUCUGCAGCUGGCAAGAGGGAAAAAACCAUCACCCUCCCAUAUCAAGCAAGAAACUUCAGAGACUGCAGAAAAUUUGCAAAUUUUCUUGCAGAUUCUUGUAAGUUCUUGUAAAUCCAGCAAAGCCUGGAUAAAAUGCAGGUGCUCAGUGACUCAGGUGCCGUGAUGUUGCAGCUGCUCCGCGUCCCAGAUCCUUGCUGGGACUGCAGUAGAACUGAAUAGUUACUCUGACAUGUCCUGGCAAUGACUGUGAAGUGAAAAGGCUUUGGCAGACAAGUCCUCGAUUGCCCCAGUUUUCUCAGACUCAAAUAGGUUAUUGUCCUUUUUUCCUCUCUGAUGCUAACAAGUUUCCUUUAUAAAAACCCUUCCCCCUUGGAUGCUGGGGCACUGACUCUAGAGCUUGCAAGACCAGAAAAGUGGUCUGCUGCUGAAUCCCAAUCAGCCUUCUACAAACAGUUGCUCAUAUAGGAAAGGAGCAGGGCAACUGGAGACUGGGUGAUCUGGGAUCUGAGCAAAGAACCCUGAGGGGACAUCCCUUGGCCCAAGGUGAUAGAAAGGGAUGAUGGUUGCUGCAGGCUCUGGAAAUGUACAAUAUUCACAUUAUUUCACUGGUACCAUUUGUAGGAGUUCUGAGCAACCAUAGUCAGGAGUCCCUAGAGAAUGGAAACACCACUGAUCUUGGCACUGUGUAAUCCCACUGCCUCAGGAGCAGGGGAGUGGGAUUACUCCUUCAGCAGUGAUUUAUGGUCAUUGUGGGAGCCACCAAAAUAGACCUUUGUGAGGAACAGAAGAGCAGCAAGAUCUACUUAAGGCUGUAGCCAGUGUGUAGCUGCCCAAACCCCUCUUGGAUUUUGCCUCAUCUUUCUUCAGGACUUCCUUUUCCAUGACACAGGACUGCUCAUUCUUUUGAUAUCAGGAGAGGAGGGUGCUCCACCUGAACAACCUGCAGAGAGGGACCAAUCAGAGCUCUCACCCACUGACUUCUCACUCUCACCUGCCCAGGUAGCACAGGGUCUGAGUGUCCUGAGCAAAGGACAGUGAGCAAAGCAGUGAAGGAGCCAGCAUAUCAGUCCAGUCACUGAUUGCCAAACCCUCUUUCCAGAAGGGUGACUGUGAAUCCCCUGAAGGAAAAAGUUCAACCACUUCUUGUGAAAAAGUAUGGCCUGAAGGUGAGCCAGUGCUUAGGAGUUUUAUGGCCACCUCACUUCCUCUAUCCACCCAUUCAUAUCUCCUCUACUGUAGCAUUAGCAACAUAUUAUCUCACAUCUACCUAAGAUUUAUUUCUUGUAAAACUUUGAGCCUGGGUAGACAUCCAUAUAUGCUGUCCUUUCUUUUUUUAUUCCUGUAUGUGAGUGUCAUACCCUGUGGGUGGUGAGGGAAUCACGUAUGGUGUGCAUGACUCUGUGUUGUAUUUACUGUCAAUGCUGUAGCUGCUACCUUUGCCUCCUGGAGCCCUCACUGAGUAUUUUAUCAGGAAGGAGGGGAGAAGGACAACAUUGCUGUAGCUUUCUGAUCUUUGUAUUGCAUGUGAUUGUCCUGAGGCUACUGGCGUGCUCUGGCCUUGGAGCAUAUCUAUAUUGGUAUUUGGCUAUUCUAGUCUGGAGGCAAGUGGGCAGGUAUUUUCACCGAGUCAUGGGAACUCAAGUGGGGUGUUUAUAAAUACACCUGUUACCCCAUCAUUCCCCACUUGUUUCUGGAAGCAUUUAACAUGAUUAUGUCCAUUCAGGUAUGCUCAGGUUAGUGCAAAGCUAUGCACUUCCUAAUUAUUGUUUUGUUUUUUUUUUAAAACAGGGAUCAAAAUAAGCUACAGCAGCUAGUUCUGCAGCCAGAGCAGAAGGGAACUGAGCAGCAUGCUCUACUUGCUGGGUGAACCCAGGGUGAGCACAACUGUGGGAAGGUGGUAGAGCCUCAGACAGAGACUGCAGAUCUGCAGGAAGCAGUGGAGAGGAGGAGCGCCCUUCCCAUUCCUGCCCAGCUAGUGACUAGUCUGCUUUCUAGGCAGCUGACAAGGGCAGUUUAAGGAGUGCCAGGAAUGACUUGAAAACUGAUGUGGCAUUUGUGAAAUGAAAAAACCCAAGUGCCAAUUUUACUUGAAACAUAAUUGGAUUUGCAGCAAAUACAUUCCAGAAAGCAGUAAGACAAUCAAGCACUGAAGAGGACCAAGCCACAGAACCUGUUGAUCAGGCUCAUGUUUAACUAGAGAAUAAAGUUUGAGGAAAGGUGAGUUAGAUGAGAGCAGCUGCUUCAUUCCCCUCUUGAGGCCAGCAUACCAGCUGAAGCUAUGUCAGGUAUCUAAAAAAAAAAAGGAUUCCUAAAAAGCCUGUUUAUGCCCUAUUCAACCUAAUUCAAUCUAAAUGACACUCAUUUAGAUGGUGCUUGCUUUUCCAGUACCCUGGAAGUGUCUAUGACAUCUGCUCAAUGAAGAGCAGCUCCUUCAAGCUUUUCUCCUUCUCCUGGAGCUCUACCACUCCAACAUUUUCUCUCAAGAAAGGAAAGAUCUAGAAAUGCUGAAUGGGGAAAGAAGGCUAUUUCACAUGGCUAUUUGACAUACCUGAGACAGAAUUUUCGUACAUCAUCUUGCUGAUCAGGUUCAGAGCUUCUGUGAUUUUCACUGAGAAGUUGUAAGCAUCUUGCAGGUAGUGCACCAACAUCUCCUGUUUGAUCAGCUCUGUUUGAGGCUGCUCUUCCUGUACAACUUCUUCAGUCUCGUCACUGCUGCUGUCAC
Molecule: long non-coding RNA, 6026 nt
Organism: Passer domesticus (house sparrow)
Lineage: Eukaryota; Metazoa; Chordata; Aves; Passeriformes; Passeridae
Exons: 3
Source: RefSeq, a predicted model, not a curated record